GCCCGCUCAGAACUAAGGAAUUGACGGGGCCCGCACAAGCGGAGGAGCAUGUGGUUAAUUCGAUGAUACGCGAGGAACCUUACCUGGGCUCGAACGUAAGAUGACUGUAGGUGAAAGCUUACAUCUCUUCGGAGCAUUUUACGAGGUGCUGCAUGGUUGUCGUCAGCUCGUGCCGUGAGGUGUCGGGUUAAGUCCCAUAACGAGCGCAACCCCUACCUUUAGUUGCCAUCAGGUUAAGCUGGGGACUCUAAAGGAACUGCCUACGCAAGUAGUGAGGAAGGCGGGGAUGACGUCAAAUCAGCACGGCCCUUACGUCCAGGGCUACACACGUGCUACAAUGGCCGAUACAGAGGGCAGCUACCUGGUGACAGGAUGCAAAUCUCCAAAGUCGGUCUCAGUUCGGAUCGGAGUCUGCAACCCGACUCCGUGAAGUUGGAUUCGCUAGUAAUCGCGCAUCAGCCAUGGCGCGGUGAAUACGUUCCCGGGCCUU
This 490-nucleotide ribosomal RNA is filed under the name uncultured Sphingobacteriales bacterium. RNAcentral's name for it is "bacterial SSU rRNA". It matches the Rfam family "Bacterial small subunit ribosomal RNA", at positions 904 to 1382 of the family's 1533-position model. Lineage: Bacteria; Pseudomonadati; Bacteroidota; Sphingobacteriia; Sphingobacteriales. The record is from RNAcentral.